Molecule: small nuclear RNA, 111 nt
Filed under: Microcebus murinus (gray mouse lemur)
Lineage: Eukaryota; Metazoa; Chordata; Mammalia; Primates; Cheirogaleidae
Source: RNAcentral
GUGCUCACUUCGGCAGCACAUAUACUAAAAUUGGAACGAUGCAGAGAAGAUUAGCAUGGCCCCUGUACAAGGAUGACAUGUAAAUAUCAUCAUGAAGCAGUCCGUAUUUUU